GGCAGUGUGGCAUAGUGGUUAGAAAUGUGCGCUCUGGGGCUGGUGAUCCCAGGCUCAAACCCUGGCGCUGUCA
This is a non-coding RNA of Pongo abelii (Sumatran orangutan), 73 nucleotides long. Lineage: Eukaryota; Metazoa; Chordata; Mammalia; Primates; Hominidae. The record is from Rfam.